AUGUAUGCGGCGGCCGGGGACGCACGAUGGGGAGAGAUGGUUUGGAGGGUGGCGCGCGGCGACUGGGGACGCACGGUGGGGAUAGAUGGUGGAGGAGGGUGGCACGCGCCUUGCCUAGGCCUCCUUCCAUGCCGCAGCGGCGGAGUCCAAGCGCUCAUCAUGAGGACGCACUGGCGAGGAGGAUUUGGCGAGCUCCGGCGCCGAUUCCGUUGGCUCCGGCGAGCUCCGGUGCCGAUUCAUUUGGCUCUGGCGAGCUCAUCCCCCUCCUACAGAGGGUGUCCAUUAGAGAUAUUUGAUCCGUUGUGGGUCCCACAUGAUAGUGAGAAGAGUGACAGAUGGUUUUCUCAGUGA
This 351-nucleotide ribosomal RNA is filed under the name Triticum aestivum (bread wheat). Its description in RNAcentral is "partial small subunit ribosomal RNA". Lineage: Eukaryota; Viridiplantae; Streptophyta; Magnoliopsida; Poales; Poaceae. The record is from RNAcentral.